This 998-nucleotide long non-coding RNA is filed under the name Apteryx rowi (Okarito brown kiwi). RNAcentral describes it as "lncRNA (ENSARWG00000007204.1)". The record is from RNAcentral. Lineage: Eukaryota; Metazoa; Chordata; Aves; Apterygiformes; Apterygidae.
UCAGGAGCCUGUGAUACUUGUUUCUACAGGUUCUGUGCCUGUCCUGAGAACAUUAAUGGUCAUCCUAGAAGCACUGGAGUGAGAGAUGCUGAUUUUGUGUCUCUGCAUUAGCUGUUGUUUAAAAUGCCUUAGCCUCAGGUUCUCCAAGGGGUUCUCUAUGGUUUUCUGUUGGUGUCACACUGAUACAAAACCAGCUUGUAUUUUGUAGAUGGUGUUUUGCCAGUCUUGGGCAUCUAAAAUCACCUGUCUUUGUCUGUCUUGUUUUCUGCUACUAACAUGGUACUGUUCAGUUGCAGUCUUGGAUCUUAACUCUGUGUACAUAGAGCAGUGAGGUCUAAUCUCUGCAGGGCCCGGAGGUGUUACUGCAGUACAAAUACAUGGUAAUAAAGAUCACUGUCCAGGAUAUAUGCAAACAUCUCAGAUGCUGUUUACACAGCUACAUUGCACAGACAAUAGAAUUAACAACCUUCUGUCCUAAACCACAGGCCUGUGGAGCUUAAAUGGGAAUGUACGUUUGCUGUUGCUUAUGUCAUCUUUGCUUUAUGUCAGCUACUACUAAUAGAAGCUAAUCAGUCACAAACAUAUGAGUAAGACUGAUUUCUUCCAGCAGAGGACAGUGGUGCACAUAAGCACUGUCUUACAACCUUUAUACCCUCUUGUCUCAAACUCAAAUGUGGGAUGCUGAGGGGUUCAGAAUCGUGUAGAAGGGAUCGGCAGAUCAUAUCAGCCCAGCUGUGAGGAUGGCUUCUGAAUAUGACUCUAAAAUGUUUGUACUGGUGUAAAAAUGCUGCAAUAAUGCGUAGUUUUGGUUUAACAAGAAGCUUCUCAAGCCUUUACCAGCCCCAAAGAAGUCUUACAGUGGAUCACACUUCGAUGCCAGGGAAGCCCCCAGGACAGACAGCAGAAUGCCUGCUCCGAAGGACCAGGGAACAGUGUCAGGCAGCAAACACCCUCCCAUGGGAUUCCCUGAAAAGUGAAGAGAGAGUCACUUCCUGGAG